CUAUUUGUGAGUUAAAAACCAUGCUGGCAGGGAGUUUGUGGUCUCCAAGCUACUUUCAGUACAAAACCAGUUUUAAGCAAGGAGAACACAAGCUUACUACAUGGGCCAUGAUGCAUGGUAGCGUAUGUCAGCAUUUGGGCAGUUAAAUUGGGGGGGGGGGGUUCUUGUCCAUAGCUGGAGCCACACAAAAGUGUAGUAUGUGAA
Dipodomys spectabilis (banner-tailed kangaroo rat) is the source of this 204-nucleotide long non-coding RNA. RefSeq lists it as uncharacterized. The transcript has 3 exons. Lineage: Eukaryota; Metazoa; Chordata; Mammalia; Rodentia; Heteromyidae. The record is from RefSeq and is a predicted model, not a curated record.